RNAcentral lists this microRNA precursor (83 nucleotides) under Bombyx mori (domestic silkworm). RNAcentral's name for it is "mir-2807 microRNA precursor family". It matches the Rfam family "mir-2807 microRNA precursor family". The record is from Rfam by way of RNAcentral. Lineage: Eukaryota; Metazoa; Arthropoda; Insecta; Lepidoptera; Bombycidae.
UUAGCUCAAUUUGUAUGGAAUGGGAUCGUUUGCCUACGUUAGCCGCUAGGGGCGCUGUUCCAAUUGCAUACAAAAUUGAGUUA